This 633-nucleotide long non-coding RNA is filed under the name Brassica napus (rape). Its description in RNAcentral is "long non-coding RNA (BNAP_LNC026558)". Lineage: Eukaryota; Viridiplantae; Streptophyta; Magnoliopsida; Brassicales; Brassicaceae. The record is from RNAcentral.
UUAGCAGACUCGCUAUAUGGAUUAAAUUCCAUUUUCCAAAGUCAGAGAAGAGAGAAAAAACAUAUAGGAAUCUGUUUGGAGUUGGAAGAGAAGGCAAGAGUUUUAAGGAAGAAAUGGACACUCGCAUUCAAGAUUCAAAACAACCAACAACAAACAAAUUCGAGUUAGACAUAUAUCUACCUUAUAUUAAUUACCCUAUCACAACCGUAAUCAACACACAAAGCAAACACUUUAUUAUCCGCAAAGCAAGUCAUUUAACUCAACCACUUCUUUUUCAUUUGGAUAGAGACAAUCACUUCUAUUUAUUACCAAUUACCAACCUAACUCAAACAUAAAGCAUUCAAUGAGAUUAAAUCAUGAAGACAUUUACCUGUAUUCCUCCUCUGCUUUGAAGAUCCUUCGUCAUCUGCUUUGACGAUCCUUCCUCAUCUACCUUGUUUCAUUGCGCUCAACAGACAAACACACACUCGAUUCAAUUAAGUUCCAAUUCUCUUAAAAAAUUCAAACCAGAAGCCAAUCAUAUAAUUCAACUCUUAAACAAUUCAGACCACAACCAUUCAUGACACUGAUUCAAUUCAGUUACGGAUCAAUUGGUGUCCAUUGUGAUGUAACCCUUAAAACAAAAUCCAGAAC